AGGCUCCGAAUGAAGACGUGCAGU
Molecule: non-coding RNA, 24 nt
Filed under: Arabidopsis thaliana (thale cress)
Lineage: Eukaryota; Viridiplantae; Streptophyta; Magnoliopsida; Brassicales; Brassicaceae
Source: RNAcentral